Molecule: transfer RNA, 82 nt
Filed under: Canis lupus familiaris (dog)
Lineage: Eukaryota; Metazoa; Chordata; Mammalia; Carnivora; Canidae
Also listed under: 1 other name
Rfam family: tRNA
About the family: Transfer RNA (tRNA) molecules are approximately 80 nucleotides in length. Their secondary structure includes four short double-helical elements and three loops (D, anti-codon, and T loops).
Source: Rfam by way of RNAcentral
ACCUGGGUGGCUCAGUGUUGAGCAUCUGACUUUGGCUCAGGUCAUGAUCCUGGGGCCCUGGGAUCAAGUCCCACAUCAGGUA